This 549-nucleotide ribosomal RNA is filed under the name uncultured bacterium. Its description in RNAcentral is "bacterial SSU rRNA". It matches the Rfam family "Bacterial small subunit ribosomal RNA", at positions 845 to 1398 of the family's 1533-position model. The record is from RNAcentral.
GCCGCAGUUAACACAAUAAGUAUCCCACCUGGGGAGUACGAUCGCAAGGUUGAAACUCAAAGGAAUUGACGGGGGCCCGCACAAGCGGUGGAGUAUGUGGUUUAAUUCGAAGCAACGCGAAGAACCUUACCAGGGCUUGACAUCCCGGCAACCGGUGUAGAGAUACAUCUUCUUCUUCGGAAGCGCCGGUGACAGGUGGUGCAUGGUUGUCGUCAGCUCGUGUCGUGAGAUGUUGGGUUAAGUCCCGCAACGAGCGCAACCCUUAUUGUUAGUUGCUACGCAAGAGCACUCUAGCGAGACUGCCGUUGACAAAACGGAGGAAGGUGGGGACGACGUCAAAUCAUCAUGCCCCUUAUGUCCUGGGCCACACACGUACUACAAUGGUGGUCAACAGAGGGAGGCAAUAUCGCGAGAUGGAGCAAAUCCCUAAAAGCCAUCCCAGUUCGGAUCGCAGGCUGCAACCCGCCUGCGUGAAGUUGGAAUCGCUAGUAAUCGCGGAUCAGCAUGCCGCGGUGAAUACGUUCCCGGGCCUUGCACACACCGCCCGUC